RNAcentral lists this unclassified non-coding RNA (251 nucleotides) under uncultured fungus. RNAcentral describes it as "partial contains 5.8S ribosomal RNA, internal transcribed spacer 2, and large subunit ribosomal RNA". The record is from RNAcentral. Lineage: Eukaryota; Fungi.
AACGCACAUUGCGCCCCUUGGUAUUCCAUGGGGCGUGCUUGUUCGAGCGUCAUUUGUACUCUCAAGCUUUGCUUGGUGUUGGGUGUUUGUCCUUGCCUUUGCGUUUGGACUCGCCUUAAAGAAAUUGGCAGCCGAUGUAUUGGUAUAGAAGCGCAGCACAAUUUGCGAUUCUAGCUAAUAAUUACUUGCAACCAUCAAGUCUAUUUAACACUUUUGACCUCGGAUCAGGUAGGGAUACCCGCUGAACUUAA